GUUCAGGUCCUAUGCAAGGUACCGCUUCUGAACCCCGUCAGAUCCGGAAGGAAGCAGCGGCAGGAAGAUGGCACUUGUGCCGUAGUGUACCUGAGCUCU
RNAcentral lists this signal recognition particle RNA (99 nucleotides) under Spirochaetaceae bacterium. RNAcentral describes it as "signal recognition particle sRNA small type". It matches the Rfam family "Bacterial small signal recognition particle RNA". Rfam says of the family: The signal recognition particle (SRP) is a universally conserved ribonucleoprotein involved in the co-translational targeting of proteins to membranes. Archaeal SRP consists of a 7S RNA and homologues of the eukaryotic SRP19 and SRP54 proteins. Lineage: Bacteria; Pseudomonadati; Spirochaetota; Spirochaetia; Spirochaetales; Spirochaetaceae. The record is from RNAcentral.